RNAcentral lists this ribosomal RNA (261 nucleotides) under uncultured Stenotrophomonas sp. RNAcentral describes it as "partial 16S ribosomal RNA". It matches the Rfam family "Bacterial small subunit ribosomal RNA", at positions 92 to 354 of the family's 1533-position model. Lineage: Bacteria; Pseudomonadati; Pseudomonadota; Gammaproteobacteria; Lysobacterales; Lysobacteraceae. The record is from RNAcentral.
CGAGUGGCGGACGGGUGAGGAAUACAUCGGAAUCUACUCUGUCGUGGGGGAUAACGUAGGGAAACUUACGCUAAUACCGCAUACGACCUACGGGUGAAAGCAGGGGAUCUUCGGACCUUGCGCGAUUGAAUGAGCCGAUGUCGGAUUAGCUAGUUGGCGGGGUAAAGGCCCACCAAGGCGACGAUCCGUAACUGGUCUGAGAGGAUGAUCAGUCACACUGGAACUGAGACACGGUCCAGACUCCUACGGGAGGCAGCAGGU